RNAcentral lists this ribosomal RNA (253 nucleotides) under uncultured bacterium. Its description in RNAcentral is "partial 16S ribosomal RNA". It matches the Rfam family "Bacterial small subunit ribosomal RNA", at positions 524 to 776 of the family's 1533-position model. The record is from RNAcentral.
UACGUAGGGGGCAAGCGUUGUCCGGAAUCAUUGGGCGUAAAGCGCGCGUAGGUGGCCCGGUAAGUCCGCUGUAAAAGUCCAGGGCUCAACCCUGGAAAGCCGGUGGAUACUGUCGGGCUCGAGUCCGGAAGAGGCGAGUGGAAUUCCUGGUGUAGCGGUGAAAUGCGCAGAUAUCAGGAGGAACACCAAUGGCGAAGGCAGCACUCUGGGACGUGACUGACGCUGAGACGCGAAGGCGUGGGGAGCAAACAGG